CCAGGCAAUUUUAUUGAACCCACUCCAUCACAACGUUUCGACCUACACAGUAUUUGUCAAGUUACUAAGUACAUGUAUACAUUCAUUUUUAUAGGAAUACAAGUGAUUAACAAUUAACAAGGUUACAUCAAUCAAACAAUUAGUUAAAUUACAACCAUAAAUUCAAUUACAUCCAUAUACAACCCCCAGUAUAGUCACAUUGAUAGUAAAGGCUAACAGCUGUGCCACGAGUCAGAGUACAAAUUAACUCGAUUGAAUAUAAUAAUUAGAUAUAAAGAUUCAAUUAAAGUAAUUCAAUUUGAAUAAUUGGAUCUAAAAAAUUCAAUAAUAUAGCAAUUAUACAAAGAUAUAUCAGAUGUUCGGGAGGUGUUCGCUCAAAUCUACUGCUUCCUCUUCCGGUAUGGUGUAUACGCAAUUAUGUUAGUACCACGGCAUUGCUACAUGCUUAGCGAUGACCCAUGGCAUAACGCUAAGUGUCCAAACAAGCGCAUGUAAUCAUCCAUGGUCACACAGAUACGUUGCCAAGGAGACAAAUAUACAACUAUAGAUCGGCAGCACUAAGUGAAAAAGAUCCCUCAUAUGUAUUCACAAUUUAAUACAUCACCAUAGUCACAUCGAUUUUAUAUAAAGAUAUAUCAGAAUAUAUUUAAAUACAUAAGACAUUUUUAAUUGUUAAAUAUCCAUGAUGUAAUCAAUGAAUGUUGGACUCUUUUAAAAAAAGAAAUGCUAUUUUUAUAAUAACCUAACUCAUGGCAACCCAAGAAGCCUUCCAAUCAAGCACCAUUUCUGGGAUAUGGAGACAAAAUUAGAAGAAAUAAAAAAAUAAACAUCGCAGUAAUAAACAAUAAACUAAUCAAAACCAGAUCAGGUCCAAUAUGUCUUCAAGCAUUACUAUUAAUAAUUUUAGUAUGAUAAUAUUUGAUUAUCUCUGACCUAUAUAUAAUUAAUAUAAAGCAUAUACGUACAUAAAAAAACAAAACAUAAAAGUGAUAGAGGUAAACAAUAAUCAGUGUAUGUGUUCCAUAAAUGAAUAGAAUAACUAAAUAAUUAUAUACAGUAUAAAAUAUAUGUGUUGUAUGUAAGAAGAGUCUAUAACAUUUUGAAUAGACCAGUGUACGUGUUAGUAGACAGAUUACAAAAUUGUGAAUAAUUCUAGUUCAUAGUUUUAUUUUAAGUGUUAAAGUGUAU
This is a non-coding RNA of Pelobates cultripes (western spadefoot toad), 1188 nucleotides long. Lineage: Eukaryota; Metazoa; Chordata; Amphibia; Anura; Pelobatidae. The record is from the annotation of a GenBank genome assembly.